AAAUUGAAGAGUUUGAUCAUGGCUCAGAUUGAACGCUGGCGGCAGGCCUAACACAUGCAAGUCGAGCGGAAACGAGUUAUCUGAACCUUCGGGGAACGAUAACGACGUCGAGCGGCGGACGGGUGAGUAAUGC
Molecule: ribosomal RNA, 133 nt
Filed under: Vibrio sp. MM46
Lineage: Bacteria; Pseudomonadati; Pseudomonadota; Gammaproteobacteria; Vibrionales; Vibrionaceae
Description: partial 16S ribosomal RNA
Rfam family: Bacterial small subunit ribosomal RNA
Source: RNAcentral